AGUAAGUUGGCGACGGAGAACAUCCAGUAUCGAAACGCCACGUCUAUCAUGCUGGCCGUCCUGGUCUUCUGGUGCAUCGUGGGCCUCGGUUCAUGCAUCGUCGGCUGUAGAAGACGGGCGACACUUAUCAGUAGCCGCGGACCCAAGGAAGUUUACCACAAGAAGAACGUACUUUGAUGCAAAAACAUUUCCUGGCAUCUGUUCGUCUUGAAGGCGCUUCUGAAAUUUCGGGGAACUCGUUUCGUCAUAAGACAGUAAUAAUGGCAUUUGUUUUCUUUGUUUUUGUUUUGUUUCUCUCUCUCUUCGUAAUAAAACGUUACGCUUCU
Ornithodoros turicata is the source of this 326-nucleotide long non-coding RNA. RefSeq lists it as uncharacterized. The record is from RefSeq and is a predicted model, not a curated record. Lineage: Eukaryota; Metazoa; Arthropoda; Arachnida; Ixodida; Argasidae. The transcript has 2 exons.